ACCUAGGCGACGAUCCCUAGCUGGUCUGAGAGGAUGACCAGCCACACUGGAACUGAGACACGGUCCAGACUCCUACGGGAGGCAGCAGUGGGGAAUAUUGCACAAUGGGCGCAAGCCUGAUGCAGCCAUGCCGCGUGUGUGAAGAAGGCCUUCGGGUUGUAAAGCACUUUCAGCGGGGAGGAAGGCGAUAAGGUUAAUAACCUUGUCGAUUGACGUUACCCGCAGAAGAAGCACCGGCUAACUCCGUGCCAGCAGCCGCGGUAAUACGGAGGGUGCAAGCGUUAAUCGGAAUUACUGGGC
This 300-nucleotide ribosomal RNA is filed under the name uncultured Klebsiella sp. Its description in RNAcentral is "bacterial SSU rRNA". It matches the Rfam family "Bacterial small subunit ribosomal RNA", at positions 267 to 559 of the family's 1533-position model. Lineage: Bacteria; Pseudomonadati; Pseudomonadota; Gammaproteobacteria; Enterobacterales; Enterobacteriaceae. The record is from RNAcentral.